AUGUUGUAAAAAAUUUCCAUGUGGUCACUUCAACUUUCUUAAAAUUUACAUAUUAAACAUUUUCAAUACUAUGAAUUAUAACUAGGAACCAUAUUUUCUUCUUUCUAUGAAAAACUAUAUUAAUGUUGCAUAAUCAUUCAACUCAGUGAAUCUGAAGAAAUUUCAGAAGUUGAUCCAAGAGAAUGUGAUGAGGUUCCGAUCAAGUUAUUAAAAAAAAAAUCACCUCCUACUCAGGCAAAGCCACACAUCAGCACUAGAAAUAAUGAUUUGGUUGCUUUAUCAAUGACAACAAGGGCUGAAGACACCUUUCACUACUCUGAUCAAGAAUGUUUACCGUGUUUUGUUUAUCUAUAUUAAAUCAUGUUUAACACGUGUAAAAACCUGUACAUAUCUUUUUUUGCCCAAAACUCAACAAUAUUUUUUGCAUCCCCAUACAACAGCAUCUCCUCAUUUUUUGUAUGCAAAAGCUGGAACAUAGUAUAUUAGAUGGGGUUAUUAGAAGAAAUUUAGUUAUUAUAAU
Pyrus x bretschneideri (Chinese white pear) is the source of this 520-nucleotide long non-coding RNA. RefSeq lists it as uncharacterized. The record is from RefSeq and is a predicted model, not a curated record. The transcript has 2 exons. Lineage: Eukaryota; Viridiplantae; Streptophyta; Magnoliopsida; Rosales; Rosaceae.